Mustela erminea (ermine) is the source of this 1042-nucleotide long non-coding RNA. RefSeq lists it as uncharacterized. Lineage: Eukaryota; Metazoa; Chordata; Mammalia; Carnivora; Mustelidae. The record is from RefSeq and is a predicted model, not a curated record. The transcript has 3 exons.
UCAUGUGCAGGAAACACUUCAUUAUUUUCUGAUCUGCCGCCAAAUCCACGCAGCUGAAUAAUUCAGGCGCUGCGGGCCCCCGUGCCAGAAUAACAGGGAUAACUAGAUACCUGGGGCUCUGCGGCUCCCCGGGCAGGCAAGGUGACACGUGUUGGCGGUUCCUGGAGAGCCCGCCCCGUGUGACCGGUGGAACCCGUCUCCCUCCGCCGCCGCGUCUCCCGGGCACGCUCACUCACUCACCGGCUCAUUCGGAGGCUUGCAGCAAACUGUAAACUAGCAACCAGCCCUGGUUUGGAAUUCGUCACGCUGCUGGAAGUCCCUGCAAGGGGAAUGUAAACACAGAUUCUGCGUUCCUUUUGGGUGGAAGCAAAUUGAGGGGCAACGAGCAACGGCACGGGCUUAUAGGGAAAUGCUGUCCAACACAUACGUGAUAGAAACUCCGACAUUUACAAUCUAGGAAAAGACCAGGCUCCUUCUGCCUCUGCUCCCAGCCACUGCCCCCUGUGCCCAGGCCCGUUCAUACCUUGCGUGGAGGACCCGGUCAUUCACGGCCCCAGCUGGGGACACUCCCUGCUCCCAGGGUGCUCCUUCCGCCACCCCAUCUCCCUGCUGCCCAGAAAUGACUCUCCUCACCAUCAAACCUUCGAAGACACGGAGACCAUCUUCACAUCAACCCACCAGAGACAGCCGACUGCCUGGAAUUCUCUAGAAGGCAUCACUCUGAACCUUGGACCAGACAAACAUUGCUUGCUGGGCGAUCUGCCCAGUCACCCAACCUCUGCAUCCAGGAUGGGAGCAUCUCGACAUCUUUCGCCAUCAAACCAGGACGUGCUGUGAUGAUGCCACGUUUUUAAAAAUUCAUACAUUUGUCGAGUGUCAUGUAUGCUUCCUAUCUACAAACAAACACGUUACUACUAGACAUUGAUCAUUACCGUUGAGCCUGGAAUUCUUAGGGAUUUUUAAAAAGGGUUAACAACAACAACAACAAAAAUCGGAACAAACACUUCAAUACUGAUUUCCAAGUAAUUAUCUUAAAUUUGUA